AUUCAGCUGACGAGUAUCAAAUAGGACAAAACGCGCGUCAUAGAU
Non-coding RNA from Schistosoma margrebowiei, 45 nucleotides. NCBI's taxonomy places the organism in Eukaryota, Metazoa, Platyhelminthes, Trematoda, Strigeidida, Schistosomatidae. The record is from Rfam.